UAGGGAAUAUUAGAAAUGGACGCAAGUCUGAUCUAGCAACACCGCGUGUGCGAAGAAGGCCUUCGGGUCGUAAAGCACUUUUUGGAAGGAAUAGGAAGGAAUGUACUUCCAGAAUAAGUCUCGGCUAACUACGUGCCAGCAGCCGCGGUAACACGUAGGAGGCGAACGUUAUCCGGAUUUACUGGGCGUAAAGCGCGUAUAGGUGGUACUGUAAGUAGGGCGUGAAAGCUCCUGGCUCAACUGGGAGAGGCCGUUCUAAACUACAGAACUAGAGGAUGGUAGAGGGAGGUGGAAUUCCAGGUGUAGCGGUGGAAUGCGCAGAUAUCUGGAGGAACACCGGUGGCGAAGGCGGCCUCCUGGACCAUUCCUGACACUCAGACGCGAAAGCUAGGGUAGCAAACGG
This 403-nucleotide ribosomal RNA is filed under the name uncultured bacterium. RNAcentral's name for it is "bacterial SSU rRNA". It matches the Rfam family "Bacterial small subunit ribosomal RNA", at positions 355 to 775 of the family's 1533-position model. The record is from RNAcentral.